GCCUGCCAAGUUCCUUUAAUGUAGUUAUCUCACAGCUUAAUUUGGUCUUAAGAAGUGAUCUCAUGUAUGGUUA
Molecule: ribosomal RNA, 73 nt
Filed under: Eimeria maxima
Lineage: Eukaryota; Apicomplexa; Conoidasida; Eucoccidiorida; Eimeriidae
Description: large subunit ribosomal RNA
Source: RNAcentral